GUUUUUUUUGUUUUUUUGUUUGUUUGUUUGUUUGUUUGUUUGUUUGCUUGUUUAAAGAUCACCAGUACCUGUUUGAGUUUUUUGUUUGUUUGUUUGUUUGUUUGUUUGUUUGUUUGUUUGUUUAAAGAUCACCUGUACCUGUUUGAGUUUUUGUUUUUUUGUUGUUUGUUUGUUUGUUUAAAGAUCACCUGUACCUGUUUGAGUGUUUGUUUGUUUUUUUGUUUGUUUGUUUGUUUGUUUGUUUGCUUGUUUAAAGAUCACCAGUACCUGUUUGAGUUUUUUGUUUGUUUGAUUGUUUGUUUGUUUAAAGAUCACCUGUACCUGUUUGAGUUUUUGUUGUUUGUUUGUUUGUUUAAAGAUCACCUGUACCUGUUUGAGUGUUUGUUUGUUUGUUUGUUUGUUUGUUUGUUUGUUUGUUUAAAGAUCACUUGUACUUGUUUGAGUUUUUUGUUUGUUUGUUUGUUUGUUUGUUUGUUUGUUUGUUUAAAGAUCACCAGUACCUGUUUGAGUUUUUUUGUUUGUUUGUUUUUUUGUUUGUUUGUUUGUUUGUUUGUUUAAAGAUCACUUGUACCUGUUUGAGUUUUUUGUUUGUUUGUUUGUUUGUUUGUUUGUUUGUUUGUUUGUUUAAAGAUCACCAGUACCCGUUUGAGUUUUUGUUUGUUUGUUUAUUUGUUUGUUUAAAGAUCACCAAUACCCGUUUGAGUUUUUUGUUUGUUUGUUUGUUUAAAGAUCAC
Long non-coding RNA from Ictalurus punctatus (channel catfish), 734 nucleotides. NCBI's taxonomy places the organism in Eukaryota, Metazoa, Chordata, Actinopteri, Siluriformes, Ictaluridae. The record is from Ensembl.